Molecule: ribosomal RNA, 406 nt
Filed under: uncultured bacterium
Lineage: Bacteria
Description: partial 16S ribosomal RNA
Rfam family: Bacterial small subunit ribosomal RNA
Source: RNAcentral
AUUGAACGCUGGCGGCAGGCCUAACACAUGCAAGUCGAACGAGUGGCGGAAGGGUGAGUAAUGUCUGGGAAACUGCCUGAUGGAGGGGGAUAACUGCUGGAAACGGUAGCUAAUACCGCAUACCAUCGGAUGUGCCCAGAUGGGAUUAGCUAGUAGGUGGGGUAAAGGCUACCCUAGGCGACGAUCCCUAGCUGGUCUGAGAGGAUGACCAGCAACACUGGAACUGAGACACGGGCCAGACGCCUACGGGAUGCAUCAGUGGGUAAUCUUUCACAAUGGGCGCAAGCCUUAUGCAGCCAUGCCGAGUUGAUUAAGAAUGCCUUCGGGUUUUAAAGUACUGUCAUUGGAGAGGCGUUACCCGCAGAAGAAGCACCGGCUAACUCCGUGCCAGCAGCCGCGGUAAUUC